Molecule: RNA transcript, 2204 nt
Organism: Tarenaya hassleriana
Lineage: Eukaryota; Viridiplantae; Streptophyta; Magnoliopsida; Brassicales; Cleomaceae
Gene name: very-long-chain 3-oxoacyl-CoA reductase 1-like
Exons: 6
Source: RefSeq, a predicted model, not a curated record
CAAAAAAAAAGGUAGUAGUUAAUGCCGGUGGUUUUCUGCUCAUCCACCUCUGCCACUGCCGCCGUAUUCAAUUCUUCUCUUCUUCAUCUUCCUUUAAAACCCUAAAUUUCUCCUCCAUUUUCGGAUCAGUAGAUUGAAAAGAGGAAACCCAUAUCCUGAAUCUGCUCAUGGAGCUCUGCGCUUUCACCGAAACCCUGAAAUCCCAGCCAAUCUGGCUCCUCUCGCUCUUCGCCAUUGGCUCCAUCUCCGUUUUCAAGUUCCUCUUCUCGAUCCUCAGAUGGGUUUACAUCUACUUCCUCAGACCCGCCAAGAAUCUGCGCGAGUACGGAUCGUGGGCUCUCGUCACCGGACCCACCGACGGAAUCGGCAAGGCUUUCGCCUUUCAGUUGGCCGGGAAAGGCUUCAACCUCGUACUCGUGGGUCGGAACCCCGACAAGCUGAGGGAUGUCUCCGACGCGAUCCGGUCCAAGUACGGUAACACCCAGAUCAAGACCGUGGUCAUGGAUUUCGCCGGAGAUCUCGACGAGGGUGUGAAACGGAUCAAGGAAACGAUCGAGGGUCUGGACGUCGGGAUUCUGAUCAACAAUGCCGGGAUUUCGUACCCGUACGCGAGGUACUUCCACGAGGUCGACGAGGAAUUGCUUAGAAAUCUGAUCAAAGUCAACAUUGAAGGGACCACGAAGGUUACACAUGCUGUUCUUCCCAAUAUGCUGGAGAGGAAACGAGGUGCAAUCAUCAAUAUGGGUUCUGGUGCUGCAGCUCUAAUCCCUUCCUAUCCGUUCUACUCCAUUUAUGCCGGCGCCAAAACGUACGUGGACCAGUUCACAAAAUCUCUGCAUGUAGAGUACAAAAAGAGUGGGAUUGAUGUUCAAUGCCAGGUUCCGUUGUAUGUUGCGACAAAGAUGACGUCGAUAAGAAGAGCUUCGUUCAUGGUGGCAUCGCCAGAGGGAUAUGCAAGGGCGGCUCUCCGUUUCGUAGGGUACGGACCACGGGCCACGCCUUACUGGCCUCACUCCCUCAUGGGUUCGGUCAUCUCCGCAUUGCCUGAAAGCAUUUUCGAGUCUUUCAACGUUAAGAGGUGCCUCCAGAUUCGGAAAAAAGGCCAACUCAAAGAUUCCCGGAAAAACCAGUGACAGAUUCAUCCGACGUAUCUUUUUAAGCCGAGAGAGAGCACCAACAGGCUGGAUGGCUCCCAAACCCAUAGUGUACAUCGACACGAGCCUCGGCACACACCUCGUCAUGGCCCUCCACAUCCGCGAGACCGUCUCCAGCUUUAAGAUUACAGAUAGAUUGCUCGAUGAUCACCGGCUUAGCUUUCCAGAUUUUGGAGACAUCGAAAUUUCUGGUCUCAAGGUGAAAGACAGAUCAUCAGAUUGCUUUUAUAACCUCUCAGACACUAUGUUCGUGACGGAGGCUUUGGAAGAAAUCUUUAGAUAUGCAAGCAACUAUUAUCUUUUUCUCGAGGUCAAGAAAGUUGUGAAGAAGGGAGAGAAUCUUCAGCUCCAUCGUCUUCAGUUCUUCCGAAUUCCACCAGGUACAGUUUUUGAUUUGGAGAUUUUGGAUUUAUGUUUAAAAUAGCUUUGGAAUUAGUUAUGCAAGUAGAUGGUAAUGGUAACAACACAACCUCAUUGGAACUGGAGCACGUUUAAGUGAUUUGUAGUAAGAGAAGAGAUUAUAAUGCAUUGCAAAUCCUUUGGUUGAUUGAAGUUGAUGUAUAUGUUUAAUCGAAAGCGCGAGGCAUAAAUCAUGUUUCUUGAUUCGUCAGCACAGGAAUACCCAUUUGAUCGAUUUCUUGCUGGAGAAUCUGUGACAUGAACGUACACAAUUUUCUAAUCUUAGGGCUAUAUUAUUUUCGGGUUUGUUCUCAUCGAUCGGAUUAGAUGGGUUGUCCUCUAAUGGUGUACGUUCCGUUGUAAGUUGCGAUAAAGAUGGCGGCAAAGGCAGCUCUCCGUCUCGUGGGGUUCGAGCCGUGGUCCACUCCUUACUGGCCUCACUCUCUCGUGGCUGCAGCCAUUUCUGAUUUGCCCGAAAGCGUUUUGGAGUGUCAAGAGGUCCUUCAGAUUCGGAAGAAAGUGUGUUUGUGUUUUUUUUUCCUGCAAGUUUCUCUUUUCUUAUCAAAGACUCGAAUGUCAAUCGGUUUAACCAAAAAAAAAACUCGAAUGUCAAUCGGUUUAGUUCGGUUCAGUUUAGUGUUGGUUUUAUUC